This is a non-coding RNA of Pelobates cultripes (western spadefoot toad), 341 nucleotides long. The record is from the annotation of a GenBank genome assembly. NCBI's taxonomy places the organism in Eukaryota, Metazoa, Chordata, Amphibia, Anura, Pelobatidae.
GCUUUGAGGAGGUGGAAGACCAAACACAGCAGGCGUCCCAGGGGGCUUGUUGUCACUUUUCGGGGACCCUUGGUGUUGUACGUGGCUGGGUGGAGGAAGAGACCUUCAAUGACAUCAGUGAGGAUAAGGAACGGGACAUGGCUAGCUUGGUAUCCAACCUUGUGCAAAUGGGGAGUUUGCGGUUGUGCAAAUGGACUGUUUGCAGUUGUUUGCGGUGCGUUAAAUGGGGAGUUUGGUCUGUCACUGUGAAGCGGGCGUAACCCUUACACUACCUGAUCGAUACAACAUCAUACAGUAGGUCCCCCCCCUCAUUAUUUUUAUGGCCCCCACCCACCGCUCAC